Molecule: unclassified non-coding RNA, 254 nt
Filed under: Ascomycota sp.
Lineage: Eukaryota; Fungi; Ascomycota
Description: partial contains small subunit ribosomal RNA, internal transcribed spacer 1, and 5.8S ribosomal RNA
Rfam family: Eukaryotic small subunit ribosomal RNA (bases 1-47)
Source: RNAcentral
AAAGUCGUAACAAGGUUUCCGUAGGUGAACCUGCGGAAGGAUCAUUAUCGAUUCAUGAGGUAAGCCGUAAGUCUGGCGUGUUAAAGUCGCUAACCAGCAGGCCCCUCUAAUUGAACCCUUGUCUAUUGCGUACCUAUGUUUCCUCGGUGGGCUUGCCCGCCGAUUGGACAAACUUAAAACCUUUUUAAUUGUUAAAUCAGCGUCUGAAACAAACUUAAUAAUUACAACUUUCAACAACGGAUCUCUUGGUUCUG